RNAcentral lists this ribosomal RNA (1136 nucleotides) under Salmonella enterica subsp. enterica serovar Bredeney. RNAcentral describes it as "bacterial SSU rRNA". It matches the Rfam family "Bacterial small subunit ribosomal RNA", at positions 12 to 1138 of the family's 1533-position model. The record is from RNAcentral. Lineage: Bacteria; Pseudomonadati; Pseudomonadota; Gammaproteobacteria; Enterobacterales; Enterobacteriaceae.
UUUGAUCAUGGCUCAGAUUGAACGCUGGCGGCAGGCCUAACACAUGCAAGUCGAACGGUAACAGGAAGCAGCUUGCUGCUUUGCUGACGAGUGGCGGACGGGUGAGUAAUGUCUGGGAAACUGCCUGAUGGAGGGGGAUAACUACUGGAAACGGUGGCUAAUACCGCAUAAUGUCGCAAGACCAAAGAGGGGGACCUUCGGGCCUCUUGCCAUCAGAUGUGCCCAGAUGGGAUUAGCUUGUUGGUGAGGUAACGGCUCACCAAGGCGACGAUCCCUAGCUGGUCUGAGAGGAUGACCAGCCACACUGGAACUGAGACACGGUCCAGACUCCUACGGGAGGCAGCAGUGGGGAAUAUUGCACAAUGGGCGCAAGCCUGAUGCAGCCAUGCCGCGUGUAUGAAGAAGGCCUUCGGGUUGUAAAGUACUUUCAGCGGGGAGGAAGGUGUUGUGGUUAAUAACCGCAGCAAUUGACGUUACCCGCAGAAGAAGCACCGGCUAACUCCGUGCCAGCAGCCGCGGUAAUACGGAGGGUGCAAGCGUUAAUCGGAAUUACUGGGCGUAAAGCGCACGCAGGCGGUCUGUCAAGUCGGAUGUGAAAUCCCCGGGCUCAACCUGGGAACUGCAUUCGAAACUGGCAGGCUUGAGUCUUGUAGAGGGGGGUAGAAUUCCAGGUGUAGCGGUGAAAUGCGUAGAGAUCUGGAGGAAUACCGGUGGCGAAGGCGGCCCCCUGGACAAAGACUGACGCUCAGGUGCGAAAGCGUGGGGAGCAAACAGGAUUAGAUACCCUGGUAGUCCACGCCGUAAACGAUGUCUACUUGGAGGUUGUGCCCUUGAGGCGUGGCUUCCGGAGCUAACGCGUUAAGUAGACCGCCUGGGGAGUACGGCCGCAAGGUUAAAACUCAAAUGAAUUGACGGGGGCCCGCACAAGCGGUGGAGCAUGUGGUUUAAUUCGAUGCAACGCGAAGAACCUUACCUGGUCUUGACAUCCACGGAAGUUUUCAGAGAUGAGAAUGUGCCUUCGGGAACCGUGAGACAGGUGCUGCAUGGCUGUCGUCAGCUCGUGUUGUGAAAUGUUGGGUUAAGUCCCGCAACGAGCGCAACCCUUAUCCUUUGUUGCCAGCGGUCCGGCCGGGAAC